Long non-coding RNA from Hyla sarda, 518 nucleotides. RefSeq lists it as uncharacterized. The transcript is spliced from 3 exons. The record is from RefSeq and is a predicted model, not a curated record. Lineage: Eukaryota; Metazoa; Chordata; Amphibia; Anura; Hylidae.
UUCAACCUCUUUCACUGUCAGGUAGUGUGUCGCUGUGAGGUGUAUUUUUGAGCUGAUUCUGCUUCUCCUGUGGCCCUUUUUGUACCUUGUCUGAAAAUGUAGAUGUUUAGACCAUUUUUUUAAAAUUUUGUUUAGGCUUAAUUUUGAUUUUUGUACCUUGAGUAACAUCCUAUGGCAAUGUGUGUCUGUUCAUUCUUUAUUUUUCCUUGAUUUGCCUUCCUUACAUACUAGGAGCCCCGUAGACGACGAUUUUGGGUGCAUCCAUUCCUUCAGGAUCGCUUGUCCAAAGGUUUUCUUUCAGUGGUGUUUCAAGAUUUGAGAAGGGAUGAGGUUAAAUUUAAAAAUUAUUGCCGACUUUCUAUGUCGAUGUUUGAUCAACUUUUUGAAUUUAUCAAAGCUGAUUUGACUAUGACCACUACCUGUAUGCGGAAGCCAAUUUCACCCGAGGAUCGUUUGCUCAUCACCUUGCGAUUUUUAGCCACAGGAGAGAGCUAUGCAUCCCUGCACCUUCAAUUCAG